Molecule: long non-coding RNA, 1055 nt
Filed under: Homo sapiens (human)
Lineage: Eukaryota; Metazoa; Chordata; Mammalia; Primates; Hominidae
Description: HSALNT0364140
Source: RNAcentral
GGAGCAAAGGGGACUCGGCCGCCAUGUUAGGAGUACUGGGACGAUUCCGCGGAGCCGGGCAGAGGUUUUAGGGGAAUGAUUAACAAAGGCGUCCGAAGAAAUCGUUGUUGGAAGGUGACCAAGGUGGAAAGAGACGUUGCUUUGGCCCUGCAAGUAAGAAGAGAGAGGGAAUAGCCUGAAGGAGUAACACUAAAUUUAAAAUGACACUUUUUUACCAACCAGCGAAAGCAGAUGUUCAAAGGGGAUAUUGGCCAGGUGCGGUCGCUCACGCCUUUAAUCCCAGCACUUUGGGGGCAGACGCGGGGAGAUAGCGUGAUUCUAGGAGUUCAACCCCAGCCUGGGCAACAUGCGGAGACCCCGUACCGUCUCUACAAAAACAUUAAACAAAAAAAUUAGCUGGGCAUGGUGGUGUACCCCUGUAGUUGCAGCUACACUAGAGGCUGAGGUGGGAGGAUCGCUUGAGCCCGGGAUGUUGAGGCUGCAGUGAGCCUCGAUCCUACCACUGUGCUCCAGCCUGGGCGACAGCAAGCCCGUGUCUCAGAAAAGGCGGGAGGGGUGGGAUAUUAUUGAUGAUAGGCCUUCUGACGUCUGGCAAUAGAUUCCAGAGUAACAUCGGUCAUGGAUAAAUUUUUUUUUUAACUAAGUGACUGAAACCAAAGUUAAUUGUCUUUUGAGUGAUUUUGCACAGUAUCUCAAAAUGAACUGUACUUUUUUUCUUGUGUCACUGAAACAGUGCUGUGUGUUCUUUUUCAGAGUCUGUCACACUAAGAUGAGAAAUGUCCUUUCUUCCUGAAGGUGUCUGAUGUGUAAAAAUAUGAUAUACUUUGUGCUGUUUCCUCCCUUCCCUUUUGCAUAUUAUUCUGAAACAACAUUAACUAGUUACUUUGCGUCAUUGAAGGUAUGCACUUCCCCUCUAUGUUAGGAGUGAAUAAAAUUAAAAAUAGAUCCUUAUAACAAAGAAAGGCAGAUAGAAUGAUUAAAAAUGACCAAAACAUGUUAGAAACAGUCUCUCAGGUGUAUGCAGAUGGUAAUUACAAAAAUACUUUUUCAAAAAA